Molecule: ribosomal RNA, 423 nt
Filed under: uncultured bacterium
Lineage: Bacteria
Description: bacterial SSU rRNA
Rfam family: Bacterial small subunit ribosomal RNA
Source: RNAcentral
GGCAUUUUGGACAAUGGGCGAAAGCCUGAUCCAGCCAUGCCGCGUGAGUGAAGAAGGCCUUCGGGUUGUAAAGCUCUUUCGGUCGGGAAGAAAUAGUUGUGGCUAAUAUCCACAAUGAAUGACGGUACCGACAUAAGAAGCACCGGCUAACUACGUGCCAGCAGCCGCGGUAAUACGUAGGGUGCAAGCGUUAAUCGGAAUUAUUGGGCGUAAAGGGUGCGCAGGCGGUUGUAUAAGUCAGAUGUGAAAUCCCUGGGCUUAACCUAGGAAUUGCGUUUGAAACUAUAUGACUAGAGUGUGACAGAGGGGAGUGGAAUUCCAUGUGUAGCAGUGAAAUGCGUAGAGAUGUGGAAGAACACCGAUGGCGAAGGCAGCUCCCUGGGUUAACACUGACGCUCAUGCACGAAAGCGUGGGGAGCAAAC